RNAcentral lists this ribosomal RNA (301 nucleotides) under uncultured bacterium. Its description in RNAcentral is "partial 16S ribosomal RNA". It matches the Rfam family "Bacterial small subunit ribosomal RNA", at positions 509 to 809 of the family's 1533-position model. The record is from RNAcentral.
CAGCCGCCGCGGGAAUACGGAGGGUGCAAGCGUUAUCCGGAUUUAUUGGGUUUAAAGGGUCCGUAGGCGGACUUAUAAGUCAGUGGUGAAAGCCUGUCGCUUAACGAUAGAACUGCCAUUGAUACUGUAAGUCUUGAGUAUAUUUGAGGUAGCUGGAAUAAGUAGUGUAGCGGUGAAAUGCAUAGAUAUUACUUAGAACACCAAUUGCGAAGGCAGGUUACCAAGAUAUAACUGACGCUGAGGGACGAAAGCGUGGGUAGCGAACAGGAUUAGAUACCCCCGUAGUCCCUGUCUCUUAUAA